This 406-nucleotide ribosomal RNA is filed under the name uncultured bacterium. Its description in RNAcentral is "partial 16S ribosomal RNA". It matches the Rfam family "Bacterial small subunit ribosomal RNA", at positions 28 to 526 of the family's 1533-position model. The record is from RNAcentral.
GACGAACGCUGGCGGCGCGCUUAACACAUGCAAGUCGAGCGAAGCGGCGGACGCGGGAGUAACACGUGAGUAACCUGCCUUAGACCUUGGGAUAGCCUCGGGAAACCGGGAUUAAUACCAAAUGGUCUAAGAUGGACUGGCGUGCCAUUAGCUAGUUGGUGGGGAACGGCCCACCAAGGCGACGAUGGGGAGCCGGCCUGAGAGGGUGAACGGCCACAUCUGAACUUAGAAACGGUCCAAACUCUACGGGAGGGAGCAGUGGCGAAUAUUGCACAAUGGAGGGAACUCUGAUGGAGCGACGCCGGGUGAACUAAGAAGGCUUUCGAGUAGUAAAGUUAUUUUAUAUGGGAAGCGGUACCAUAAGAAAAAGCACCGGCUAACUACGUGCCAGCAGCCGCGGUAAUAC